Molecule: long non-coding RNA, 305 nt
Organism: Frieseomelitta varia
Lineage: Eukaryota; Metazoa; Arthropoda; Insecta; Hymenoptera; Apidae
Exons: 2
Source: RefSeq, a predicted model, not a curated record
AUAUAAUAUAAAUAGUGUUUAUUUAUUAAAAUUCUAUAGGGUCUUAUCGUCCCAUAAAAAAAUUUUAACAUUUUUACUAAAAUUUUAAAUUUAUAAAAUAAAUAUAAGACAGUAUAUAUUUCAUUAAUCCUUUCAUUCUAGAUUUCAUUUAAAAAUCAAUUGAUUAUGCUACCUUUGUACAGCCAGUUAUACUGCAGCCAUUUAAUUUAGUCAUUGGGCAGAUUGACUUAAAAUUAUUUUCAAUAAGACAUGUUUUUGAUAAACAAGUGACUAUAUUUAUUUUGCCUAGUUCCUUAUAUUUAUAU